RNAcentral lists this non-coding RNA (21 nucleotides) under Caenorhabditis elegans. The record is from RNAcentral. Lineage: Eukaryota; Metazoa; Nematoda; Chromadorea; Rhabditida; Rhabditidae.
UACACAUUUAUUUAGAACAAG